RNAcentral lists this ribosomal RNA (484 nucleotides) under uncultured bacterium. RNAcentral's name for it is "partial 16S ribosomal RNA". It matches the Rfam family "Bacterial small subunit ribosomal RNA", at positions 30 to 507 of the family's 1533-position model. The record is from RNAcentral.
AUUGAACGCUGGCGGCAGGCCUAACACAUGCAAGUCGAGCGGAUGAAGGGAGCUUGCUCCUGGAUUCAGCGGCGGACGGGUGAGUAAUGCCUAGGAAUCUGCCUGGUCGUGGGGGAUAACGUCCGGAAACGGGCGCUAAUACCGCAUACGUCCUGAGGGAGAAAGUGGGGGAUCUUCGGACCUCACGCUAUCAGAUGAGCCUAGGUCGGAUUGGCUAGUUGGUGGGGUAAAGGCCUACCAAGGCGACGAUCCGUAACUGGUCUGAGAGGAUGAUCAGUCAGACUGGAACUGAGACACGGCCCAGACUCCGACGGGGAGCAGCAGUGGGGAAUAUUGGACGAUGGGCGAAUGCCUGAUCCAGCCAUGCCGCGUGUGUGAAGAAGGUCUUCUGAUUGUAAAGCACUUUAAGUUUGGAGGAAGGGCAGUAAGUUAAUACCUUGCUGUUUUGACGGUACCAACAGAAUAAGCACCGGCUAACUUCGUG